Molecule: ribosomal RNA, 274 nt
Filed under: uncultured bacterium
Lineage: Bacteria
Description: partial 16S ribosomal RNA
Rfam family: Bacterial small subunit ribosomal RNA
Source: RNAcentral
CUACGGAGGGUGCAAGCGUUAUUCGGAAUCACUGGGCGUAAAGGACGCGUAGGCGGGUUUGUAAGUCAGGUGUGAAAUCCUACAGCUUAACUGUAGAACUGCACUUGAAACUACAGACCUAGAGUAUGGGAGGGGCAGAUGGAAUUAGUGGUGUAGGGGUAAAAUCCGUAGAUAUCACUAGGAAUACCGAAAGCGAAGGCGAUCUGCUGGAACAUAACUGACGCUAAGGCGUGAAAGCGUGGGGAGCAAACAGGAUUAGAAACCCGAGUAGUCC